Long non-coding RNA from Cryptomeria japonica (Japanese cedar), 345 nucleotides. RefSeq lists it as uncharacterized. The record is from RefSeq and is a predicted model, not a curated record. The transcript is spliced from 3 exons. NCBI's taxonomy places the organism in Eukaryota, Viridiplantae, Streptophyta, Pinopsida, Cupressales, Cupressaceae.
UGUUCAUCUUGACCAGGUAUAGAUAUAUAUAAUAUACAUGUACAUGUCAAUGUUUUUAUGUACUUUAUUAAAUAUAGGUAUAAACUAAGUGCAUCUCUUUUUUUAUACAAUCUAAUACUUCAUUAAAUAAAUUUUGUUUAUGUAGAUAAGGACUACGCCUAAUAUUAGAGUUAAUAUUGCAUCUACUGGAAGACAACUCGGCACACCUUAUGGGGAUUCAGGUCAUGAGGGACCCUCUACAUCACAUCGAGAAGAGGGUCUGACUAUUGUGACACCAUCUAUGGUGGACACUACCAUUAGGAUAGGUUAUCCUCAUAAUUUUGAUCAGAGCCAAUUUGAACGCAC